AACGCAGCGAAAUGCGAUAAGUAAUGUGAAUUGCAGAUUUUCAGUGAAUCAUCGAAUCUUUGAACGCACCUUGCGCUCCUUGGUAUUCCGAGGAGCAUGCCUGUUUGAGUGUCAUUA
Molecule: ribosomal RNA, 117 nt
Filed under: uncultured fungus
Lineage: Eukaryota; Fungi
Description: 5.8S ribosomal RNA
Rfam family: 5.8S ribosomal RNA
About the family: 5.8S ribosomal RNA (5.8S rRNA) is a component of the large subunit of the eukaryotic ribosome. It is transcribed by RNA polymerase I as part of the 45S precursor that also contains 18S and 28S rRNA.
Source: RNAcentral